Molecule: transfer RNA, 73 nt
Filed under: Monilinia vaccinii-corymbosi
Lineage: Eukaryota; Fungi; Ascomycota; Leotiomycetes; Helotiales; Sclerotiniaceae
Description: tRNA-Val
Rfam family: tRNA
About the family: Transfer RNA (tRNA) molecules are approximately 80 nucleotides in length. Their secondary structure includes four short double-helical elements and three loops (D, anti-codon, and T loops). Further hydrogen bonds mediate the characteristic L-shaped molecular structure. tRNAs have two regions of fundamental functional importance: the anti-codon, which is responsible for specific mRNA codon recognition, and the 3' end, to which the tRNAs corresponding amino acid is attached (by aminoacyl-tRNA synthetases). tRNAs cope with the degeneracy of the genetic code in two manners: having more than one tRNA (with a specific anti-codon) for a particular amino acid; and 'wobble' base-pairing, i.e. permitting non-standard base-pairing at the 3rd anti-codon position.
Source: RNAcentral
GGUUGUGUGGUCUAAUGGUUAUGAUAUCUCGUUCACACCGAGAUGGUUCUGAGUUCGAUCCUCAGCACAAUCA